RNAcentral lists this unclassified non-coding RNA (348 nucleotides) under soil metagenome. Its description in RNAcentral is "partial contains 5.8S ribosomal RNA, internal transcribed spacer 2, and large subunit ribosomal RNA". The stretch from base 1 to 120 matches the Rfam family "5.8S ribosomal RNA", at positions 35 to 154 of the family's 154-position model. The record is from RNAcentral.
GAUGAAGAACGCAGCAAAAUGCGAUAAGUAAUGUGAAUUGCAGAAUUCAGUGAAUCAUCGAAUCUUUGAACGCACAUUGCGCCCGCUGGUAUUCCGGCGGGCAUGCCUGUUCGAGCGUCAUUUCAACCCUCAAGCCCCCGGGUUUGGUGUUGGGGAUCGGCUCUGCCCUUCUGGGCGGUGCCGCCCCCGAAAUACAUUGGCGGUCUCGCUGCAGCCUCCAUUGCGUAGUAGCUAACACCUCGCAACUGGAACGCGGCGCGGCCAUGCCGUAAAACCCCAACUUCUGAAUGUUGACCUCGGAUCAGGUAGGAAUACCCGCUGAACUUAAGCAUAUCAAUAAGCGGGGGA